RNAcentral lists this ribosomal RNA (253 nucleotides) under uncultured bacterium. RNAcentral describes it as "partial 16S ribosomal RNA". It matches the Rfam family "Bacterial small subunit ribosomal RNA", at positions 524 to 776 of the family's 1533-position model. The record is from RNAcentral.
UACGGGGGGGGCAAGCGUUGUUCGGAAUUACUGGGCGUAAAGCGUGCGUGGGUGGUUUUUUAAGUCCGUUGUGAAAGCCCUGGGCUCAACCUGGGAAUGGCAGUGGAUACUGGAAAGCUAGAGUGCGGUAGAGGGUAGUGGAAUUCCCGGUGUAGCAGUGAAAUGCGUAGAUAUCGUGAGGAACACCAGAGGCGAAGGCGGCUACCUGGACAAUCGCUGACGCUCAGGCACGAAAGCGUGGGGAGCAAAAGGG